RNAcentral lists this ribosomal RNA (520 nucleotides) under uncultured Entrophospora. RNAcentral's name for it is "SSU rRNA". It matches the Rfam family "Eukaryotic small subunit ribosomal RNA", at positions 569 to 1083 of the family's 1831-position model. Lineage: Eukaryota; Fungi; Glomeromycota; Glomeromycetes; Entrophosporales; Entrophosporaceae. The record is from RNAcentral.
AGCAGCCGCGGUAAUUCCAGCCCCAAUAGCGUAUAUUAAAGUUGUUGCAGUUAAAAAGCUCGUAGUUGAAUUUCGGGAUUGGCGCAUCGGUCGUGCCUCACGGGGUAUGAACUGGUGCAGUCAAUUUCUCACCUUCUGGAGAACCGCGAUGUCCUUAAUUGGAUGCCGCGGGGAACCAGGACCUUUACUUUGAAAAAAUUAGAGUGUUUAAAGCAGGCAUUUUUGCUUGAAUACAUUAGCAUGGAAUAAUAAAAUAGGACGGCAUGGUUCUAUUUUGUUGGUUUCUAGGACCACCGUAAUGAUUAAUAGGGAUAGUUGGGGGCAUUAGUAUUCAAUUGUCAGAGGUGAAAUUCUUGGAUUUAUUGAAGACUAACUACUGCGAAAGCAUUUGCCAAGGAUGUUUUCAUUAAUCAAGAACGAAAGUUAGGGGAUCGAAGACGAUCAGAUACCGUCGUAGUCUUAACCAUAAACUAUGCCGACUAGGGAUCGGAUGAUGUUAAUUUUUUAAUGACUCAUUCGG